AUUAAACGCUGGCGGCAUGCCUUACACAUGCAAGUCGAACGGCAGCACGGGGCAACCUGGUGGCGAGUGGCGAACGGGUGAGUAAAGCAUCGGAACGUGCCCUGGAGUGGGGGAUAACGUAGCGAAAGUUACGCUAAUACCGCAUAUUCUGUGAGCAGGAAAGCAGGGGAUCGCAAGACCUUGCGCUCUGGGAGCGGCCGAUGUCGGAUUAGCUAGUUGGUGGGGUAAAGGCCUACCAAGGCGACGAUCCGUAGCGGGUCUGAGAGGAUGAUCCGCCACACUGGGACUGAGACACGGCCCAGACUCCUACGGGAGGCAGCAGUGGGGAAUUUUGGACAAUGGGCGCAAGCCUGAUCCAGCCAUGCCGCGUGAGUGAAGAAGGCCUC
This 386-nucleotide ribosomal RNA is filed under the name uncultured bacterium. Its description in RNAcentral is "bacterial SSU rRNA". It matches the Rfam family "Bacterial small subunit ribosomal RNA", at positions 29 to 418 of the family's 1533-position model. The record is from RNAcentral.